UUUUACUGAAUAAAAGUUGGAAAAUAAAAAGAGUAGAAUUCGCGGAGACAUCACCAAUGCAGCCACCGAUUCUCCGUUCAAUUCCGGCAUUCGGCGUCGCCUCCUCUUUCUCCGGCGCCACCGCCUUACUCCGCCGCUCCUACGUGUGCUACAACUGCAAUUACCCCUUCCAUAUUUCCCCCACCGCUGCCGCGAUCGCAGACUCGGACACGUCAUCAUCCGCCUUCCCCUCCCCCUUCCGCUGCCCUCGCUGCCACCUCCGCCACCUCAUCUCCCACCACACAAUUUGCGCAGCGCCUCGUCGUCGUCCUCCUCCUCUUCCUCCUUCCUCCCGCUCUACGCGGCGGCGCAAGGACGAUCCUCCUCCUGCUGUUGUCAGUAGCACUACUUCAGCAGCUCCGUCGACGCAGCCGUGCUCAAUUUGCCUAGAGGAUUUCGAUAUUAGCUCCGAUGCAGCUAGCGUGACGCCGUGCAAGCAUUAUUUUCACAAGGAUUGUCUCGCGCCGUGGCUCCGGAAGAAGAAGACUUGCCCCAUGUGCCGUCGCGAAUUGCCCUACAAAAUUCGAAGGUUUCGGAGAUGGGCAUCAGUGAUCGCGCGCGAUGCGGAUGGGGAUACCUUGAUGAGAGACGCAUGAGCUCUGUUGAUAAAUGGAAAAGCAGUCUUGUGCAAAUAUAUGGAGCUGUUCUUCUAUAGCUUGCUGUCAUGGUCGGGGACAGCGUCUUUUGUACAGAGUUUGUCUUUUUAGUUAAUCUUUUGCAAAGUUAGCGCUGGAGCAGGGAUGGGCCUAAUAGGUAGAAAGGCAAGAGGUUUUCUUUGAAGAAAUUUAGAAAAUUAGAAGGAGUAAUUCCUAUAGAGUUUUUAGUGUCUCCUAUCAUUUAGUGAGGGGGUGGAUAUGAUUUCGUUUCAUUUCACAAACAGGGUUAGAAAAGGGGGUGGUAGAAUGGGAUGGAAUAAGUAGAAUUUUUUAUUUAUGUUCCAUUCUUAUAUUUAUUAAUAAAUGAAAUUUUGAUUGGAGGAA
This is a long non-coding RNA of Salvia splendens (bonfire salvia), 1019 nucleotides long. RefSeq lists it as uncharacterized. NCBI's taxonomy places the organism in Eukaryota, Viridiplantae, Streptophyta, Magnoliopsida, Lamiales, Lamiaceae. The transcript is spliced from 2 exons. The record is from RefSeq and is a predicted model, not a curated record.